RNAcentral lists this long non-coding RNA (240 nucleotides) under Mytilus galloprovincialis (Mediterranean mussel). Lineage: Eukaryota; Metazoa; Mollusca; Bivalvia; Mytilida; Mytilidae. The record is from RNAcentral.
GGCGAUAAAUGUGUACUGUAAUGUUUACUAUAGUGACAAAAAAUUUAAAAGUUAAUAGAAACAAACAAAAUUACAAUUUUCUUCUCAAUAACGAAGUGUUUUAUUUUAAAAACACCAUUUGCAUAAGUUUUCAAUUUAUCUAGUUCAUAGUUAAGCAGAACAAUUAGAUAUCAGGUCGACGACAUGGGUAUCUUUCAAGUUGGAUGUAGAAAAUGCAUAUCCUCCGAUUUAAAAAAAAAA